CCUACGGGAGGCAGCAGUAGGGAAUAUUGGGCAAUGGAUGCAAGUCUGACCCAGCCAUGCCGCGUGCAGGAAGAAGGUCCUCUGGAUUGUAAACUGCUUUUAUCGGGGAAGAAUAGUUUUCUUGCGAGGGAAUGUGACGGUACCCGAUGAAUAAGCCACGGCUAACUACGUGCCAGCAGCCGCGGUAAUACGUAGGUGGCAAGCGUUGUCCGGAUUUAUUGGGUUUAAAGGGUGCGUAGGUGGUUUUAUAAGUCAGUGGUGAAAGCUGGUUGCUCAACAAUCAAGUUGCCAUUGAUACUGUUAGACUUGAGAGAAGUGGAGGUUCAUGGAAUGGAUGGUGUAGCGGUGAAAUGCAUAGAUAUCAUCCAGAACGUCGAUUGCGAAGGCAGUGGGCUGUACUUUUUCUGACACUGAGGCACGAAAGCGUGGGGAUCAAACAGGAUUAGAUACCCUGGUAGUCCACGCUGUAAACGAUGCGAACUAGCUUUCGGGUUUAAGAUUCGGGGGCUAAGGGAAACCGAUAAGUCCGCCACCUGGGGAGUACGCCGGNAACGGUGAACUUAAGGAAUUGACCGGNUGAGAGNGCGAGACGACGACGAGGGAGAGG
Molecule: ribosomal RNA, 607 nt
Filed under: uncultured bacterium
Lineage: Bacteria
Description: bacterial SSU rRNA
Rfam family: Bacterial small subunit ribosomal RNA
Source: RNAcentral